UGGUAAAGUCUGAUCAUGAUAUCUGGGAAGUCCUGGCCCAAUACUCAACAUGAUUUGACCCAAGUGACUAAGUAGGACUGAGAUGAAAAACCCCUUAGUUAAGACGGUUAAUUUCAUUCUCACAUGCAAAGAAAACUGAGAGCAGCCAACAAUGGGAUCAGAGAAUCAAUGACAAAAAGAAAAUGGAGUCGCAGGUGUCCAUCUCCUUCCUGAGGUGGGAUUCAAACUCUGUGACCAAGACAUUAAGGCUCUGGAUCUCCUCUUCUUUGGAUGCCAUUUUUUCACAUGUUCCAGUUUAGCUUCUUCCUUCAGCUGAAAAGCUUGCUCCUGAUACUCAGCAUGGUGUCGGAUUCGCUCUUUAUUGAGUUCAGAUUCGAGCUGGAAAGUAGAGUUCAGCACACAUACACACAGAGAGAUGCUCAUUUUUAUAGCCAAACAAGGACAUGGAAAUUAUUUCUACAAAUAAUACUUACACGAAUUUCAUUGCCUAUUGAACAGUGAAAAGAAAAACGACAUCAUGGAAUGUGAAAGUGGGAGCCCAAGAGGAAUAACCAAGGCAGGAUCUUUGGACCAAAGAGGACUUAGAAUUCUGCAGAUGGCUGAUACGGACAGAGUCCUGUACCAUAGAUGCUUGUACAGACUCAAAGCCAGGGCAAGAAUGCACAGGGCUCAAGCCAGGAGACCAUAAACAGACUCUGUGAUAGACCAGACCCCUAUGGAAGCACUGAAAGCUCUCGGAUCCCUAGGCUGUUUUUGAGAUCCUAGAAUAGCAUAACAUUCAAUACUCCAAGAAAGCAGCACCAGAACCAGCCCAGACCUUCCCUCCAGAAUAAACUGUUUUUACAAAUAAAGUCAAUGGGAGCCAUGUGUAGAAAGAAUUAGAAUGGAAAAAGUUUGUUCCAGAAAUGUACUAUUGGGUCACUUUCAAAAUGGUGAGAAAAAAUUAAAUGCUGAAAGAUAAAACCUAUAUUAUAUACUUUAUUGUUAUGCAAGGCACAGUGACUCAGGAAGUAGAUGGCAAUGUUAUAUUAACAGCUACUCUCUUUCUUAGGAAAGUUUCAGAGCCCUUAGAGUCUCAUUUCCAUGGAUGACAUUAUCGACGCUUAGUUCUAGUGGUCUAGGUUUUAGUCUGAUGCAUCAACCUAAAUGAUGAUCAACCAAUCAAGAGCCCUGGCCCACAGUAAAGUUAUUUGCCACCUUUAAUCUAGAAAAUAGGGAUUCUUUAACUGCCAAUGUGACUUCACAAUGUAAAUAAAAUACUGGAAAGGCUCUCGAAUUGAUGGUAAUGUUAGGAGAAUUCAAUUUUCUGUGUAUCUUUUGCUGUUGCCAAUUUAUCUAAUCACCCUCACUUAGCACACACAUUCACACAACGCCUAUACAUGGAUAAUACUAGACCAAGUGUGAAAGAGAUAGUUCUAUAAGCUUGAAGGCAAGGUGAAGGGCAUUUCCAAAAUCAUUUUUUGGAUCAAAAGCAUCUGGAAACAUUGUUGAGCCAUGAAACAACACCUGGAAACGUAAACAAUCAUACCUCUUCACCAAAACAGACAGCCAAGUUCACUGUUAAACAUUCUGAUAAUCACCAUUAUCUAUUAACUAACACUUAAAGAAACAGAGAAUGGGAAUGUGAAGAAUAGAAGGAUGACGGUUCUUGAAUAAAUCCUUCUGUCCACUCCCCUCUGUCCAGUCUUUUAACUUCUAGACUUGGACUGGUAAAGAUAUGGGGAGGGGAACGAGUAGAGGAGAGCCAUUCUAACUGACCUGGGAGCAGCUUUCCUAGGAAAUAAGAGGAAAUAUGGGGGCUACAGAAGAAGUUAACAGGAAACCCUAUGCAUGAAUGACAUCAUUGUGACAAAAUACUUCUCAAGUUAAGUUCAAUUCAACAAACAUUUAUUAAGCAUUUAGCCCCUGUCUUCCAAUUUCUCAUCUGUGUAAGAGUGCUAAAAUGACUAUUUUGAGAAGCAUCAUUCACCUUAACUUGUCACUUCACUAUAAAGAGUUAAACCAAUUGUUGAUGUAGAGGAUAACCUGAUUUUAUUUACUGGCAGCAGAGGAAAGAAUAGGUGUUCAUGUAGACUAACUUAGGUAACGUACUCCAUGCUGAGCACCGUGACUUACAAGUUACCUGCUAUAAUGACUAUGAUUUGUUUACAUAAGCAGAAUACACAUCCUUGAAAGCAAUGUUUACAUGUAUUUCUAAUAGCAGUUUAUUAGUGUUCUCAUUUCUUUAUGUAAAGUUUAAAUUUAAU
This is a long non-coding RNA of Trichosurus vulpecula (common brushtail), 2246 nucleotides long. RefSeq lists it as uncharacterized. Lineage: Eukaryota; Metazoa; Chordata; Mammalia; Diprotodontia; Phalangeridae. The transcript has 3 exons. The record is from RefSeq and is a predicted model, not a curated record.